Molecule: ribosomal RNA, 253 nt
Filed under: uncultured bacterium
Lineage: Bacteria
Description: partial 16S ribosomal RNA
Rfam family: Bacterial small subunit ribosomal RNA
Source: RNAcentral
GACGAAGGACCCGAGCGUUAUCCGGAUUCAUUGGGUUUAAAGGGUGCGUAGGCGGAUUGAUAAGUCAGUGGUGAAAGCCUGUUGCUUAACAACAGAACUGCCAUUGAUACUGUCGAUCUUGAAUAUGUUUGAUGUGGGCGGAAUAUGACAUGUAGCGGUGAAAUGCUUAGAUAUGUCAUAGAACACCGAUUGCGAAGGCAGCUCACAAAGCCAUUAUUGACGCUGAGGCACGAAAGCGUGGGGAUCAAACAGG